CGCUGGCGGCGUGCCUAAUACAUGCAAGUCGAACGCUUCACUUCGGUGAAGAGUGGCGAACGGGUGAGUAAUACAUAAGUAACCUGGCAUCUACAGGGGGAUAACUGAUGGAAACGUCAGCUAAGACCGCAUAGGUGUAGAGAUCGCAUGAACUCUAUAUGAAAAGUGCUACGGGACUGGUAGAUGAUGGACUUAUGGCGCAUUAGCUUGUUGGUAGGGUAACGGCCUACCAAGGCGACGAUGCGUAGCCGACCUGAGAGGGUGACCGGCCACACUGGGACUGAGACACGGCCCAGACUCCUACGGGAGGCAGCAGUAGGGAAUUUUCGGCAAUGGGGGAAACCCUGACCGAGCAACGCCGCGUGAAGGAAGAAGUAAUUCGUUAUGUAAACUUCUGUCAUAGAGGAAGAACGGUGGAUAUAGGGAAUGAUAUCCAAGUGACGGUACUCUAUAAGAAAGCCACGGCUAACUACGUGCCAGCAGCCGCGGUAAUACGUAGGUGGCGAGCGUUAUCCGGAAUUAUUGGGCGUAAAGAGGGAGCAGGCGGCACUAAGGGUCUGUGGUGAAAGAUCGAAGCUUAACUUCGGUAAGCCAUGGAAACCGUAGAGCUAGAGUGUGUGAGAGGAUCGUGGAAUUCCAUGUGUAGCGGUGAAAUGCGUAGAUAUAUGGAGGAACACCAGUGGCGAAGGCGACGAUCUGGCGCAUAACUGACGCUCAGUCCCGAAAGCGUGGGGAGCAAAUAGGAUUAGAUACCCUAGUAGUCCACGCCGUAAACGAUGAGUACUAAGUGUUGGGGGUCAAACCUCAGUGCUGCAGUUAACGCAAUAAGUACUCCGCCUGAGUAGUACGUUCGCAAGAAUGAAAC
This 865-nucleotide ribosomal RNA is filed under the name human gut metagenome. RNAcentral describes it as "bacterial SSU rRNA". It matches the Rfam family "Bacterial small subunit ribosomal RNA", at positions 34 to 900 of the family's 1533-position model. The record is from RNAcentral.